Molecule: ribosomal RNA, 774 nt
Filed under: uncultured Neocallimastigales
Lineage: Eukaryota; Fungi; Neocallimastigomycota; Neocallimastigomycetes; Neocallimastigales
Description: partial large subunit ribosomal RNA
Rfam family: Eukaryotic large subunit ribosomal RNA
Source: RNAcentral
UAGAUGCGAGAGUAGAGCAUAUCAAUAAGCGGAGGAAAAGAAACUAACAAGGAUUCCCUUAGUAACGGCGAGUGAAGCGGGAAGAGCUCAAAUUUGAAAUCUUCAAGGUUCUACCUUGACGAAUUGUAGUUUAUAGAAGUGUUUUCUGUUAGUAGAGUGGCAAAAGUUCUUUGGAAUAGGACAUCAUAGAGGGUGAGAAUCCCGUAUUUGGUCAUUCCUCCUAGCGUUGUGAUACACUUUCAACGAGUCGGAUUGUUUGGGAAUGCGGUCCAAAAUGGGUGGUAAAUUUCAUCUAAAGCUAAAUAUUGGCGAGAGACCGAUAGCGAACAAGUACCGUGAGGGAAAGAUGAAAAGAACUUUGAAAAGAGAGUUAAACAGUACGUGAAAUUGUCAAAAGGGAAGCGUUUGACACCAGUGUUGUUUUUCCGAAAAUCAAUUAAAAAUUGAUUCAUGCCAGGUUGUAUUGACCUUAUCAGCUUGCAAUUUGGUUUUGGGUCUCUUUUUGAUGCACUUUUCGGUUAACAAGUCAACAUCAAUUUCCUUUGCUGUAAAAAGGUAAGAGGAAGGUGGCUUCAAUUUCGGUUGAAGUGUUUAUAGCCUUUUAUCUCUGCAGUCGGGGAGAUUGAGGUCUGCAGCGUAGAUCCUUCGGGGCUAGAUACAUUUAUGCUAAGUUAUAGCUUUUCAUAGACAACUUGUUGACUAUGUUUAGUCAUGUAGCUUACUCGUAAGUGCUAUUUUACCUACGCUUAGGAUGUUGAGCGCAUGUCUCUCUCU